Microtus oregoni (creeping vole) is the source of this 871-nucleotide long non-coding RNA. RefSeq lists it as uncharacterized. Lineage: Eukaryota; Metazoa; Chordata; Mammalia; Rodentia; Cricetidae. The transcript has 3 exons. The record is from RefSeq and is a predicted model, not a curated record.
GCAAGAUUCUCAUAAGAAGACGAGAACUGGAAAAGCUCCUGAAGAGGGAGAAAUACAAGCGCCCCUGCCUGGCUGCGAUUGCUGUUUGUACCACACCUGCUGAGACAAAGAAGAGCCCAGACUGGAUUCCCUCCAGAAACCGGAAGGGAAGCUCAGUCCAAGUGGGGAGGGUGUUAAAGUCUUGAGUCCAAGGCUGACACACUCAGGGGGCCCAGAGAGACAGGAGCACCUGCCAUCUCCAGACAAAUGUGGAGAGAAGCAUAAGAGCAACACCGUGUCCCCACUUAAAAAGGCCCAGAAUGCAUUUCAAUACCGAACAUCCUGCAUAGAGGCAGCUCUUACCUUGCUGAACCUGGAGCUCACCAACUUGGCUAGACUGGCUGGGCAGCAAGCUGCAGGAACCCUCCUGUCGCCGCGCCACAAUGCUGAGGUCACAGGCACAAUUGCCACGAUUUCAGCUAGGGAUACAAACACAGGACCUCAUCUCUGCACACCAAGUACUUUCCCCACCAAGUCAUCUUUUCCUGACCCCAGAUUUAGCCAUUUUCUAAAGUAGAGAAUCUCUGUUUACCAGGUAUGAUUGACUGCAGCCAGUGUACACGACUUUUCCUUGCAAGUGUGUUUCCUGACUCAAAUCUGAAAUAAGGACAUUGGGCGCAGCAUGCUGAAGACAACAUGCACUGGAAUUCAACUUUCCAAUGACAGAGGGAGACGUCAGGCUCAUGAGCAGCCUGCACAAUGAGUUGAAUCCGAGUGAGCUAAGAACAUGAGCCUCUGCCAUCAGCAGUGCUGCGGCCACGUCUUAGCAAUCAUCUGCAGACAAAUGGAUUGGCAAUCAGUAAAUCAGUAGUGUGUGCACGUGCGCACACGU